RNAcentral lists this ribosomal RNA (393 nucleotides) under uncultured bacterium. RNAcentral's name for it is "bacterial SSU rRNA". It matches the Rfam family "Bacterial small subunit ribosomal RNA", at positions 505 to 898 of the family's 1533-position model. The record is from RNAcentral.
GUGCCAGCCGCCGCGGUAAGACGAACUGUCCAAACGUUGUUCGGAAUCACUGGGCUUAAAGGGCGCGUAGGCGGUCAAACAAGUCAGGGGUGAAAUCCUGCAGCUCAACUGUAGAAGUGCCUCUGAUACUGUUUGCCUAGAGGGAGAUAGGGGUGUGCGGAACUUCCAGUGGAGCGGUGAAAUGCGUUGAUAUUGGAAGGAACGCCGGAGGCGAAAGCGGCGCACUGGAUCUCUUCUGACGCUGAGGCGCGAAAGCUAGGGGAGCAAACGGGAUUAGAUACCCCGGUAGUCCUAGCCCUAAACGAUGAGUACUAGAUUGUAGACUUUCAUGGGUUUACAGUCGAAGCAAAAGUGUUAAGUACUCCGCCUGGGGAGUAUGGUCGCAAGGCUGAA